UAUAUACUCCCUCCGUCCAGAAAUACUUGUCAUACAAAUGGAUGUAUCUAGACGCAUUUUAGUUCUAAAUACAUCCACUUUUAUUCAUUUCUACGACAAGUAAUUCCGGAAGGAGGGAGUACUCG
This is a non-coding RNA of Triticum aestivum (bread wheat), 125 nucleotides long. The record is from Rfam. Lineage: Eukaryota; Viridiplantae; Streptophyta; Magnoliopsida; Poales; Poaceae.